GCAACGUAACUGCCAGGUGAUCUGUCUUCACUCCCAUUUCCUCUGACACCAAAUGUAUGGAGUUGGAUCUUUCUUUUAUUUUUCCUUUCACGAACCUAUUCCCGGAUUCUCCAGACACAAGCUGAGUGUCCAGCGAUUCAGCUCAAUUCCGAUCUAACUACACAGAGUUAGCACAGACCCCACAGGUUAAAGUCCCCCCAGAUUCCUCCCACUUCAGACGCCAGCCCCAAGUCCCAGUCCACCCAUACUUCUUACCAGUAUAAUAAUAUAAAUCAGGGGUUCCCACAACCCCCUCCCCAGGUUCAGGGAUUUGUUUGAAAGGCCCCAGAAAAGCCCUGUACUUUCUGUCAGCGGUUUUAUUAUAAGGGGCACAACCCAGGAGCAGUCAAAUGGAAGAGAGGCAACUCAGGGUCACACAGCAUCUCUGCCCUCUCUGGGUCCACACCUCAGUGUGCUCCAACCUGAAGCUUUAGGGGUUUACGGUGGUUUCAGGACCCAGGUGUGACUGACUAAGCCGUCGACCAUGGUGAUCAACUCAGUGUCCAGCCAUUCUCCUCUCCCCAGAGGUGGGGGUGGUGGAGAGGAAGCUCCUCCCCUCAGCCAAGCCCAGGUCUUGUAGUGACCAGCCCCCAACCUGAAGAAGCCUCCCAGGGGCCCAGUCACCUCCGUAGCCUGCAAACAUUCCCCAUCACUCUGGAGAUUCCGAGGGUCGCAGGAGGUGUGUGCCAGGAACCAGGGACAAGGACCACACCCACGUCCACUCCUCAUCGCGGGGGACCAAGCUCACUGGGCACUCUGUCAACCAGGAGCACUGGCCUGGCCGACAGGGAGGCAGCUGCUUGGGGAACGCGAAGGCGGUGAAGGAACGACAUCAGGGGUGGGACGGCAGACGGGCUCCUCCGCGGGCCUCCUCCACUGCAGACCGACCUGAUGGUUCAGGCCCAGAGUCUCCUCUACGACUCAGUGGAUUUUGUUUAAAGCAACAUAAGUUGGGUGGUUGGAGGGCAUGAAGGAUCAGGGCAGUGUGCUAGCCAGGAGGAGGACAAGGGCAAAUGGCCACCCUGAAGGCCACAGGGACACAGGCAGAAGUGACUGCCCAAGACAAAGAGCCUGGAGAGGCUCCGUCCCUUCCUGAGCCAAACUGUGCUGCCCAGAGGCCUCACCCCACCUCUUCGACCCCCAGCAACCACGUUCUGAGAGGGGCAGAGGCCCAAACCAACUGUUCCUGGCUGGACCGGGCACACUGGCCUCUACCUCAGCCCCGGGUUCUCCAGGGUCUCCAGGAACCUCCAAGGCCUGGCUGGGGGCACAGAGCAGCCGCAGAGGGCCAGAAAAGGAAGAGCGCAGGAUCAAUUGCAUAUAGACCUCAUCACAGAAUCCACAUUGUCUUCAAAUUGUUUAAGCCCCAAGAACAUAGUGAAUUCCACCAGGGAAUACGGUGGGGGGCUCUCAAGGGCAGGGUGAGGACCCCCUCCAUCCUUCUGGUUUCUAGGCUGCAAAAUUCUCCA
Molecule: long non-coding RNA, 1508 nt
Filed under: Marmota monax (woodchuck)
Lineage: Eukaryota; Metazoa; Chordata; Mammalia; Rodentia; Sciuridae
Source: RNAcentral